RNAcentral lists this ribosomal RNA (354 nucleotides) under uncultured eukaryote. RNAcentral's name for it is "LSU rRNA". It matches the Rfam family "Bacterial large subunit ribosomal RNA", at positions 2126 to 2479 of the family's 2925-position model. The record is from RNAcentral.
GGCUUUGUUUGCGCAGGAUAGGUGGGAGGCGUUGAAAGUUUUCUUGCGGGAAGAUUUGAGCCAUUGGUGAGAUACCACUCUAACAAUGCUAGGAUUCUAACCCUAUGUCGUUAUCCGGCUAGGGGACAGUUUCAGGUGGUCAGUUUGACUGGGGCGGUCGCCUCCUAAAAGGUAACGGAGGCGUGCAAAGGUUCCCUCAGGCUGGUUGGAAAUCAGUCGUAGAGUGUAAAGGCAUAAGGGAGCUUGAUUGUGAGACCUACAAGUCGAACAAAGACGAAAGUCGGCCUUAGUGAUCCGGCGGUACCGAGUGGAAGGGCCGUCGCUCAACGGAUAAAAGUUACUCUAGGGAUAACA